Molecule: long non-coding RNA, 1066 nt
Organism: Prosopis cineraria
Lineage: Eukaryota; Viridiplantae; Streptophyta; Magnoliopsida; Fabales; Fabaceae
Exons: 2
Source: RefSeq, a predicted model, not a curated record
CCUCAACCUGACACAAUGCAAAUGUUAGCGCCUUCCAUGUUAGUAAAUAUAAGGUCUGAAUCAGAUUCAUACCCAAUAAGCAAGCAAAAGGUUGAUAUCAUCUAUCAGUAGCCUCAUUGUCAAAUUCUCAUCUUGCCAGAGCUCUGACUCUUUUGAAGCCGAAAAGGGGACUACCAUUUGGGGCUCUUCCUUGUAGUUCCACUCUUCUUUGACAUACUUCACUACUGCUAAGCUGAGUAGCCUAGGCUUCCGAACAGUAUACCAAGGCAAGAAUUCUGAUAGAAUAUUGAAACGAGUUUCUUCAGCAUCAGUCCACUCAUCAGAAGAUGGAAGGGGAACCCAGAUGAUCUUAUAGCUGUCUCUCUCACUCAAAGGAUGAUCAUAUGUUUGCUGAACCAACAAGAGUGAUUCCUCCAGCGUAAGCUGCUCUGUUUUUGAGAUCAGCAACACAACAAUCUUAUUUUUUAAUUCAGACACACCAAUCUGUUGGUGAAAGGAGAUUCAAAAUUAGAAAGUUUUAGUUGCUGAGCAAAGUUCCUUUUCUUUGUUUAAAAAAAAAAAAAAUCUGAGGAAACAAAUGAGUAUGAUUGAGCAGAUUACCUUUUCUUGGGUUGAGCAAUCCUUAAGUGGCAAGUAAUCCUUCACUGGAAAUAAUAAACUGAGAAAUCCUUGAUUAUCAUUUUGGACCUCAGCUGCGAGACUCAGUAGCCUGUUAUGCAAGUUUCUCCCUGAAAAUUCGAGCCACAGAGCUGAUAUAAGCAAAUAAAGCGGAAUCGACAGCUAAGUGCCCCAUUUAUAAGAGGUCUUGUGAAGUUGAAAGGGAACCUAUUUCUUGGUGACACAAAUCCACUUGCCCUUUGAGAAUGUUGCAUAUGCUGCUUAAUCUAUAAGCCAGACUUGAAAGCUCCCAGGCUGCAAGUAUUGUUGAAUCAGAAUACCUGAAACAACUAAAUGCAUGAAAACAGCAUCCCUAGUUCAAUCUAAUCCGUUGAUUUUGCUUAUUAAAUAAACCGGACGAAACUAUAAAGGUAAUAGAAUUUUCGGUGUGUAACAUAAUUGAUGUAAA